AUUGAACGCUGGCGGCAGGCCUAACACAUGCAAGUCGAACGGUAACAGGAAGCAGCUUGCUGCUUUGCUGACGAGUGGCGGACGGGUGAGUAAUGUCUGGGAAACUGCCUGAUGGAGGGGGAUAACUACUGGAAACGGUAGCUAAUACCGCAUAACGUCGCAAGACCAAAGAGGGGGACCUUCGGGCCUCUUGCCAUCGGAUGUGCCCAGAUGGGAUUAGCUAGUAGGUGGGGUAACGGCUCACCUAGGCGACGAUCCCUAGCUGGUCUGAGAGGAUGACCAGCCACACUGGAACUGAGACACGGUCCAGACUCCUACGGGAGGCAGCAGUGGGGAAUAUUGAACAAUGGGCGCAAGCCUGAUGCAGCCAUGCCGCGUGUAUGAAGAAGGCCUUCGGGUUGUAAAGUACUUUCAGCGGGGAGGAAGGGAGUAAAGUUAAUACCUUUGCUCAUUGACGUUACCCGCAGAAGAAGCACCGGCUAACUCCGU
This 489-nucleotide ribosomal RNA is filed under the name uncultured bacterium. Its description in RNAcentral is "partial 16S ribosomal RNA". It matches the Rfam family "Bacterial small subunit ribosomal RNA", at positions 30 to 506 of the family's 1533-position model. The record is from RNAcentral.